RNAcentral lists this ribosomal RNA (106 nucleotides) under uncultured bacterium. RNAcentral's name for it is "partial 16S ribosomal RNA". It matches the Rfam family "Bacterial small subunit ribosomal RNA", at positions 1379 to 1482 of the family's 1533-position model. The record is from RNAcentral.
CCUUGUACACACCGCCCGUCACACCAUGGGAGUCAGUUGCUCCAGAAGUGGCUUACCCAACCCGCAAGGGAGGGUAGUCCCCAAGGAGUGACUGGUAACUGGGGUG